GAUGAACGCUGGCGGCGUGCCUAAUACAUGCAAGUCGAGCGAACAGACGAGGCGCUUGCUCCUCUGACGUUAGCGGCGGACGGGUGAGUAACACGUGGAUAACCUACCUAUCAGACUGGGAUAACUUCGGGAAACCGGAGCUAAUACCGGAUAAUAUAUUGAACCGCAUGGUUCAAUAGCGAAAGACGGUUUUGCUGUCACUUAUAGAUGGAUCCGCGCCGCAUUAGCUAGUUGGUACGGUAACGGCUUACCAAGGCGACGAUGCGUAGCCGACCUGAGAGGGGGAUCGGCCACACUGGAACUGAGACACGGUCCAGACUCCUACGGGAGGCAGCAGUAGGGAAGCUGCCGCAAUGGGCGAAAGCCUGACGGAGCAACGCCGCGUGAGUGAUGAAGGUCUUCGGAUCGUAAAACUCUGUUAUUAGGGAAGAACAAAUGUGUAAGUAACUAUGCACGUCUUGACGGUACCUAAUCAGAAAGCCACGGCUAACUACGU
RNAcentral lists this ribosomal RNA (496 nucleotides) under uncultured bacterium. Its description in RNAcentral is "partial 16S ribosomal RNA". It matches the Rfam family "Bacterial small subunit ribosomal RNA", at positions 28 to 506 of the family's 1533-position model. The record is from RNAcentral.